Molecule: ribosomal RNA, 225 nt
Filed under: Triticum aestivum (bread wheat)
Lineage: Eukaryota; Viridiplantae; Streptophyta; Magnoliopsida; Poales; Poaceae
Description: partial small subunit ribosomal RNA
Source: RNAcentral
AUGAGUGACCUCUUUUGGAACUGCCGGGGGGCGGGGAACCGCCGGACAGUUCGUGAAGUUGGGGCUCUUGUAAAAGCCCAUUCCCCAAGCUUGUUCUUUCUCGCUGAAACGAGACAGACAAGUGUUAAAGUUGAAAGAAUGAAGUGGAAAUUAUGUCUCAAAGGAUUCUGCGGGGUGGAUUGUGAAGGCCGAGGCGGUGGACUAGCGCUGUUUUGGGAUGAAUCC